RNAcentral lists this ribosomal RNA (462 nucleotides) under uncultured bacterium. RNAcentral's name for it is "partial 16S ribosomal RNA". It matches the Rfam family "Bacterial small subunit ribosomal RNA", at positions 29 to 523 of the family's 1533-position model. The record is from RNAcentral.
AACGAACGCUGGUGGUAUGCUUAAUACAUGCAAGUCGAACGGGCAUAGCAAUAUGUCAGUGGCAAACGGGUGAGGAAUAUAUAGGAACCUCCCUAGCAGUAAGGAAUAACUUUGGGAAACCAAAGCUAAUGCCAUAUAUUACCCCUUAAGAAAUUAAGGGGGAAAGAUUUAUCGCUGUUAGAUGGGCCUGUAUCAGAUUAGCUAGUUGGUAGGGUAAUGGCCUACCAAGGCAAUGAUCUGUAGCUGGUCUGAGAGGAUGAUCAGCCACACUGGAACUGAGACACGGUCCAGACUCCUACGGGAGGCAGCAGUAGGGAAUAUUGGACAAUGGGCGCAAGCCUGAUCCAGCAAUACCACGUGAGUGAUGAAGGUCUUCGGAUUGUAAGGCUCUUUUAGUAGGGAAGAUAAUGACGGUACCUACAGAAAAAGCACCGGCUAACUUCGUGCCAGCCGCCGCCGUAA